AGAGUUUGAUCCUGGCUCAGGACGAACGCUGGCGGCGUGCUUAACACAUGCAAGUCGAACGGAAAGGCCCUGCUUUUGUGGGGUGCUCGAGUGGCGAACGGGUGAGCAACACGUGAGUAACCUGCCCUUGACUUUGGGAUAACUUCAGGAAACUGGGGCUAAUACCGGAUAGGAGCUCCUGCUGCAUGGUGGGGGUUGGAAAGUUUCGGCGGUUGGGGAUGGACUCGCGGCUUAUCAGCUUGUUGGUGGGGUAGUGGCUUACCAAGGCUUUGACGGGUAGCCGGCCUGAGAGGGUGACCGGCCACAUUGGGACUGAGAUACGGCCCAGACUCCUACGGGAGGCAGCAGUGGGGAAUAUUGCACAAUGGGCGGAAGCCUGAUGCAGCAACGCCGCGUGCGGGAUGACGGCCUUCGGGUUGUAAACCGCUUUCGCCUGUGACGAAGCGUGAGUGACGGUAAUGGGAAGA
This 467-nucleotide ribosomal RNA is filed under the name uncultured organism. RNAcentral's name for it is "bacterial SSU rRNA". It matches the Rfam family "Bacterial small subunit ribosomal RNA", at positions 8 to 486 of the family's 1533-position model. The record is from RNAcentral.